This 465-nucleotide ribosomal RNA is filed under the name Vreelandella stevensii. Its description in RNAcentral is "partial 16S ribosomal RNA". It matches the Rfam family "Bacterial small subunit ribosomal RNA", at positions 338 to 795 of the family's 1533-position model. Lineage: Bacteria; Pseudomonadati; Pseudomonadota; Gammaproteobacteria; Oceanospirillales; Halomonadaceae. The record is from RNAcentral.
CCUACGGGGGGCUGCAGUGGGGAAUAUUGGACAAUGGGGGCAACCCUGAUCCAGCCAUGCCGCGUGUGUGAAGAAGGCCCUCGGGUUGUAAAGCACUUUCAGUGAGUAAGAACGCCUGGUGGUUAAUACCCAUCAGGAAAGACAUCACUCACAGAAGAAGCACCGGCUAACUCCGUGCCAGCAGCCGCGGUAAUACGGAGGGUGCGAGCGUUAAUCGGAAUUACUGGGCGUAAAGCGCGCGUAGGUGGCUUGAUAAGCCGGUUGUGAAAGCCCCGGGCUCAACCUGGGAACGGCAUCCGGAACUGUCAAGCUAGAGUGCAGGAGAGGAAGGUAGAAUUCCCGGUGUAGCGGUGAAAUGCGUAGAGAUCGGGAGGAAUACCAGUGGCGAAGGCGGCCUUCUGGACUGACACUGACACUGAGGUGCGAAAGCGUGGGUAGCAAACAGGAUUAGAUACCCCUGUAGUC